This 253-nucleotide ribosomal RNA is filed under the name uncultured bacterium. Its description in RNAcentral is "partial 16S ribosomal RNA". It matches the Rfam family "Bacterial small subunit ribosomal RNA", at positions 524 to 776 of the family's 1533-position model. The record is from RNAcentral.
UACGUAGGGGGCAAGCGUUGUCCGGAAUUAUUGGGCGUAAAGAGCUUGUAGGCGGUUUGUCGCGUCUGCUGUGAAAAUCCGGGGCUCAACCCCGGACUUGCAGUGGGUACGGGCAGACUGGAGUGUGGUAGGGGAGACUGGAAUUCCUGGUGUAGCGGUGGAAUGCGCAGAUAUCAGGAGGGACACCGAUGGCGAAGGCAGGUCUCUGGGCCACUACUGACGCUGAGAAGCGAAAGCGUGGGGAGCGAACAGG